RNAcentral lists this ribosomal RNA (468 nucleotides) under uncultured bacterium. RNAcentral describes it as "partial 16S ribosomal RNA". It matches the Rfam family "Bacterial small subunit ribosomal RNA", at positions 28 to 507 of the family's 1533-position model. The record is from RNAcentral.
GACGAACGCUGGCGGCGUGCUUAACACAUGCAAGUCGAACGGAAAGGCCCUGCUUUUGUGGGGUGCUCGAGUGGCGAACGGGUGAGUAACACGUGAGUAACCUGCCCUUGACUUUGGGAUAACUUCAGGAAACUGGGGCUAAUACCGGAUAGGAGCUCCUGCUGCAUGGUGGGGGUUGGAAAGUUUCGGCGGUUGGGGAUGGACUCGCGGCUUAUCAGCUUGUUGGUGGGGUAGUGGCUUACCAAGGCUUUGACGGGUAGCCGGCCUGAGAGGGUGACCGGGCACAUGGGGACUGAGAUACGGCCCAGACGCGUACGGGAGGCAGCAGUGGGGAGUAUUGCACAAUGGGCGGAAGCCUGAUGCAGCAGCGCCGCGUGCGGGAUGACGGCCUUCGGGUUGUAAACCGCUUUCGCCUGUGACGAAGCGUGAGUGACGGUAAUGGGUAAAGAAGCACCGGCUAACUACGUG